UAUUUUCGGAUACAGAAACCGGCGCACGGGUGCGUAACGCGUAUAUAAUCUACCUUAUACAGAGGGAUAGCCCGAAGAAAUUUGGAUUAAUACCUUAUAGUAUUAUUGAUUGGCAUCGAUUAAUAAUUAAAGCUGAGGCGGUAUAAGAUGAGUAUGCGUCCUAUUAGCUAGUUGGUAUGGUAACGGCAUACCAAGGCUACGAUAGGUAGGGGUCCUGAGAGGGAGAUCCCCCACACUGGUACUGAGACACGGACCAGACUCCUACGGGAGGCAGCAGUGAGGAAUAUUGGUCAAUGGUCGGAAGACUGAACCAGCCAUGCCGCGUGCAGGAAGACGGCCUUAUGGGUUGUAAACUGCUUUUGUAAGGGAAGAAUAAGUCGUAUGUAUACGGCGAUGACGGUACUUUACGAAUAAGCAUCGGCUAACUCCGUGCCAGCAGCCGCGGUAAUACGGAGGAUGCGAGCGUUAUCCGGAAUCAUUGGGUUUAAAGGGUCUGUAGGCGGGUUAUUAAGUCAAGGGUGAAAGUUUGUUGCUUAACGAUAAAAUUGCCUUUGAUACUGGUAGUCUUGAAUUUUUGUGAAGUUGCUGGAAUGUGUAGUGUAGCGGUGAAAUGCAUAGAUAUUACACAGAACACCGAUUGCGAAGGCAUGUGACUAACAAAGGAUUGACGCUGAGAGACGAAAGCGUGGGGAGCGAACAGGAUUAGAUACCCUGGUAGUCCACGCUGUAAACGAUGGAUACUAGCUGUUUGGAGCGAUCUGAG
This 763-nucleotide ribosomal RNA is filed under the name uncultured Cytophaga sp. RNAcentral's name for it is "bacterial SSU rRNA". It matches the Rfam family "Bacterial small subunit ribosomal RNA", at positions 75 to 843 of the family's 1533-position model. Lineage: Bacteria; Pseudomonadati; Bacteroidota; Cytophagia; Cytophagales; Cytophagaceae. The record is from RNAcentral.